RNAcentral lists this unclassified non-coding RNA (528 nucleotides) under Hevea brasiliensis (rubber tree). The record is from RNAcentral. Lineage: Eukaryota; Viridiplantae; Streptophyta; Magnoliopsida; Malpighiales; Euphorbiaceae.
UAGUCCCAUUGGUCGUAAUAGAAAGAGAUUCCUGGAGCGAAGUAAGAUCUCGGAGUUUUACGCUUGUUCCUAUAACGACGGAGGGGAGGGUUUUCAAUCUCGAUCUUCGUAUUAGUUGGAAAAACUUCCUUUCUUUAUCGAAAAAAGAUCAAGAGUUAAAUUCCUCUUGUCCUAAUCUGCCAGUCUUAGCUUCAACCUCUGUGUACUUGCCUCUUUCGAUUGAUUCUUUGUAUGGAUGGAUGCGUCUCUUUGGGUCGGAGCGCUGGCUUAAAGCUUUAGGUCUACCUUCAACUAGAAAGAGUAUGGCCUCUGCCUUAUGUUCAUCCGAUACGGAUACAUAUGCCUAGGAUUUAGAGCUGUGGUUCGGGAUCUCUGUUGGACGGCAAUUCUUUCCUUUGCCUGUAAACAGAACUGUAGUAACAUGAUCUUGAUAGAGAGCUGCUUCGAUUGCAUGUGAGUCUAAGACAAAGGGCCUUUAGGAGAGGGAACUGAAUCACCGACUCCCUUCUCUAGUCCCACGCUUCACUU